RNAcentral lists this long non-coding RNA (663 nucleotides) under Homo sapiens (human). RNAcentral describes it as "non-protein coding MIR99AHG:53". The record is from RNAcentral. Lineage: Eukaryota; Metazoa; Chordata; Mammalia; Primates; Hominidae.
AGGGUGCCACUACUAUGGAGACACAGCUGGGCUGAACAAGAUUUGCUUCAAACGACAACAAGAGAGACAGAAAGUAUCUGGUUCAACCGCUGCCCGAGCAGGCAGGCACCAGAAGAGCUAGCAGCCAAUCCGGCCAUGCUCGAAGCCAGCUCUGCAGCUCAGCCAAUCAGUGACAUCAUUGCUUUCUUUAGCUUGCCCAUGGUGAUGUGAAGAUGAGAAGAAAUAGCAAGGCCCAACCAGUUCUUCAUCUGGAGACAGUUCAACGUUCUGCAAACCAGAUCUUCAGGAAUUUUACUGGGAUAAUUAUCCAAAUAAAUUGCAAGCAUUCUAUCCAAAUGGAGCUCUUUCUGAGAUGAAGAGAAUUCUCAAUGUCAAGAUUUGAACAAGAAGAGAAUGGAAUACACAAUAUGGACAUCCAUAAAAAUUCAUCAGAGAGCAUUUUACUACUGAGCUGCAAAGGGAAAAACUUAAAAUGGAUAUGAAAAGUGAAGAAAGUGAUCAUAGGAGAAAACCAUUUCAGAUGACAAGAGCACCUCAAAGGCAGCAGCCUCAAGGAGCAGCCAUGGCCCCAGACUUGUCGCACGGAUGCAGAAAACUUAAUGGAGGAGGCUGAGGUCAGAAUGGGAAGAGUUUUUAAAAAAUAAAAAGGGGAGCUAAUAUGUG